Molecule: ribosomal RNA, 508 nt
Filed under: uncultured bacterium
Lineage: Bacteria
Description: partial 16S ribosomal RNA
Rfam family: Bacterial small subunit ribosomal RNA
Source: RNAcentral
GAUGAACGCUAGCUACAGGCUUAACACAUGCAAGUCGAGGGGAAACGAUAUUGGAAGCUUGCUUCCGAUAGGCGUCGACCGGCGCACGGGUGAGUAACGCGUACCCAACCUGCCCACCACUUGGGGAUAACCUUGCGAAAGUAAGACUAAUACCCAAUGACGUCCAUAGAAGACAUCUGAAAUGGAUUAAAGAUUUAUCGGUGAUGGAUGGGGAUGCGUCUGAUUAGCUUGUUGGCGGGGUAACGGCCCACCAAGGCGACGAUCAGUAGGGGUUCUGAGGGGAAGGUCCCCCACAUUGGAACUGAGACACGGUCCAAACUCCUACGGGAGGCAGCAGUGAGGAAUAUUGGUCAAUGGGCGAGAGCCUGAACCAGCCAAGUAGCGUGCAGGAUGACGGCCCUAUGGGUUGUAAACUGCUUUUAUAAGGGAAUAAAGUGAGCCUCGUGAGGCUUUUUGCAUGUACCUUAUGAAUAAGGACCGGCUAAUUCCGUGCCAGCCGCCGCGGUAA